GCUGGGCAUGGUGGUGCAUGCCUGUAAUCCCAGUAGCUCGGAGACUGAGGCAGGAGGAAGGUGAGUUCAAAGCCAGCCUCAG
Molecule: small RNA, 82 nt
Filed under: Marmota monax (woodchuck)
Lineage: Eukaryota; Metazoa; Chordata; Mammalia; Rodentia; Sciuridae
Source: RNAcentral